Molecule: ribosomal RNA, 593 nt
Filed under: uncultured bacterium
Lineage: Bacteria
Description: bacterial SSU rRNA
Rfam family: Bacterial small subunit ribosomal RNA
Source: RNAcentral
GAGAACGGAAUCUAGCUUGCUAGAUUUGUCAGCUAAGUGGCGCACGGGUGAGUAAUAUAUAGUUAAUCUGCCCCAAAGAAGAGAAUAAUUGUUGGAAACGACUUGUAAUGCUCUAUAUGCCUUUAUCACAAAAGUGAGCAAGGGAAAUAUUUAUAGCUUUGGGAUGAGACUGUACGGUAUCAGCUAGUUGGUGAGGUAAUGGCUCACCAAGGCAAUGACAUCUAACUGGUUUGAGAGGAUGAUCAGUCACACUGGAACUGAGACACGGUCCAGACUCCUACGGGAGGCAGCAGUGGGGAAUAUUGCACAAUGGAGGAAACUCUGAUGCAGCAACGCCGCGUGGAGGAUGACACAUUUCGGUGCGUAAACUCCUUUUAUUAGGGAAGAUAAUGACGGUACCUAAUGAAUAAGCACCGGCUAACUCCGUGCCAGCAGCCGCGGUAAUACGGGGGGUGCAAGCGUUACUCGGAAUCACUGGGCGUAAAGAGCAUGUAGGCUGGUUUGUAAGUUGGAAGUGAAAUCCUAUGGCUCAACCAUAGAACUGCUUCCAAAACUGCUUACCUAGAGUAUGGGAGAGGUAGAUGGAAUUUCUG